GUGCCAGCAGCCGCGGUAAUACAGAGGGUGCAAGCGUUAAUCGGAGUUACUGGGCGUAAAGGGCGCGUAGGCGGUUUAAUGGGUGUGAUGUGAAAGCCCCGAGCUUAACUUGGGAAGUGCAUCGCAAACUGUUGAGCUGGAGUACAAGAGAGGGUGGCGGAAUUUCCGGUGUAGCGGUGAAAUGCGUAGAGAUCGGAAGGAACGUCAAUGGCGAAGGCAGCCACCUGGCUUGAUACUGACGCUGAGGCGCGAAAGCGUGGGGAGCGAACAGGAUUAGAUACCCUGGUAGUCC
This 292-nucleotide ribosomal RNA is filed under the name uncultured bacterium. RNAcentral describes it as "partial 16S ribosomal RNA". It matches the Rfam family "Bacterial small subunit ribosomal RNA", at positions 505 to 796 of the family's 1533-position model. The record is from RNAcentral.